UACGAAUAUGAUACCUCCUGUAUCGACUCAGAUUCAAAUAUCGAUUGAUUCCACCGAUUAUACAUUUAACGGACCUAAUCCGGAACUAGCAGCAUUUCCGCAAUGUCCAACUACAAGUUCAUUUUCUAUAUCGCAACCUGUUACCCAAAGUCAACAAUUGUCUACUUCAUCAUCUAUUCCUCUAGAAUGCGCGUUUAAUUUUGAUUCGUCACCAGGAGAUCAUACAGCUGAACCUGGUUCAAUCCAGUCCGAAGGAUUUAAUUUUAAUCCCAAUACUAGACCAUCGUUCCGUUUUAGUGUUUAUGAAUUUAAGUAUCUACAAAAUAUAAAAUUAUUUUACACAUUAAUAGCAGGAUCUUUUUUCCAUAAAAAAAUGUGUUGCCAUGUGUUGUUUUAGUGCACCUACUCAAGUACAACGAGAUACUGCGUCUACUCGAGUACAACGAAAUACUGCGAAAGCUUUUAGAAGAUUAAAAUAGGAGUCAAGUAACGGCAUUCUUUUUAUACAGUUGCUCAUGAAGGUAUUCAUAUUCUUGCAGAAGACACCUUUUAUGAAUAUACUAUAUGUCUUGAAAGAAACAUUUUGAAAUGUCAUUAGUAUUGUAACAAAAUCCGAUUGUCAUAGCUAUAUUGGUAAAGUUUUUAGCAAAUCUGAAAAUAUACAUAGAUAUUACAAAACACCUAACACAAGUAUGCAGAUAUUUUGUAGAAAUCAAUAAAGUAUUUAAACAGUCAUUUAACAUUUCAUCAAACAUUUUCCAUAUGUAUGAAAUAAGCCUAAAUAUUUACUGGAACCACUUUUGAGAUUUUUUCUAGGCAUACCAAGGAGGCUAUUAAUGCUGUGUGCUAAUCUUUAUUAAAUAUAUGUUUGUAAAUACCUUUUAUGUAUAUUUUCAGAUUGGUUUUUGGCUUUUCUAUCAUAAAAAUAGUAGUUGCAAAAUACUUUUAUGAGCCAUUGUAUCUAUUUCAUACAAUCGUGAGAAAACAAGUCGAAGACGCUUCGUUUUCGAAGAAAAAAGAAAAAAGAAAAAAGAAACGAUUUUGAACAUUUUCUCGAUGCUGCUAUACGCACAUACUCUUUAUGAUAUAUCAAUUCUUGGAUCAAUAACGAACUUUCAUUAUUGAUGAUUUGCUGCUAGUGGAUGAGGAAACUUAAUAAAAUAUCGAAUGUCUGCAAUUUAUUGAGAAUAACGAGUUUAUGUGGGUAACAGAUAUAUCCUUUCAUUAAGCAUAGGUCUUAUAUAACUCGUUUAUAGUUGAGAAGGAAAAUACUAAUCAGUACUAAUUAAAUUCAUGAAUUAAUAACUUUUUUUUUUGUAACGAAAGAAAUGUUGCGAUGCAUAAUGUACAAUGUAUUGAAUUUGCUUCAUACAUUUAAUUGAUUCUGAACAAUUAUCUUUGCUUCAUUAUUUUUGAAUAAAUUCAGUAUUUACAACUUAAUAAUUGUAAUAAAAUUAUAUCAUUCAGAUAAUAAGAAAACGCGUAAUAAUAAUUAUUACGAUGCAAAAAAAAAAAAUAAUAAGUAUAUCUAUAAUGAGAGAAAAUAUUAACAACAAUUAAUAUACAAAUAAUAAGUUUGUGUUUGAAAGUAACUUAUUGGCAAAUUGAUAAUGUAUCUUUCAACGUAGAGAUCUUGCAAGUUGUAAAACGUAGAAGGACGAGUUAAGUGUUCUGAGACCUUAUUAAAUCUGUUGCAACUGUGCAUAGCUAUUUGCAAAUCAAGAUGUGUAGAUGUUCGAGAUGCCGAAGCACUGUUCGUUAUGAAUAACACGCAGCGUAGUUGCACCUGUUACAUCUCUGUCGAGCACAAUUAUAUUAGUUCCUUUCGUAAUCUACCUGAAUAUACUACCUCCCUUCUCGCUAAUA
Long non-coding RNA from Bombus pascuorum, 1866 nucleotides. RefSeq lists it as uncharacterized. NCBI's taxonomy places the organism in Eukaryota, Metazoa, Arthropoda, Insecta, Hymenoptera, Apidae. The transcript has 3 exons. The record is from RefSeq and is a predicted model, not a curated record.